AGAAUCAACGCUGGCGGCGUGCCUAACACAUGCAAGUCGAACGAGAAAGUGGAGCAAUCCAUGAGUAAAGUGGCGCACGGGUGAGUAACACGUGACUAACCUACCCUUGAGUGGGGGAUAAACUGAGGGAAACCUUAGCUAAUACCGCAUAAUACCCACGGGUCAAAAGGAGCAAUUCGCUCGAGGAGGGGGUCGCGGCCGAUUAGUUAGUUGGCGGGGUAAUGGCCCACCAAGACGAUGAUCGGUA
This 247-nucleotide ribosomal RNA is filed under the name uncultured bacterium. RNAcentral's name for it is "partial small subunit ribosomal RNA". It matches the Rfam family "Bacterial small subunit ribosomal RNA", at positions 26 to 285 of the family's 1533-position model. The record is from RNAcentral.